Molecule: ribosomal RNA, 497 nt
Filed under: uncultured bacterium
Lineage: Bacteria
Description: partial 16S ribosomal RNA
Rfam family: Bacterial small subunit ribosomal RNA
Source: RNAcentral
GAUGAACGCUGGCGGCGUGCCUAAUACAUGCAAGUCGAGCGAACGGACGAUAAGCUUGCUUCUCUGAUGUUAGCGGCGGACGGGUGAGUAACACGUGGAUAACCUACCUAUAAUACUGGGAUAACUUCGGGAAACCGGAGCUAAUACCGGAUAAUAUUUUGAACCGCAUGGUUCAAAAGUGAAAGACGGUCUUGCUGUCACUUAUAGAUGUAUCCGCGCUGCAUUAGCUAGUUGGUAAGGUAACGGCUUACCAAGGCAACGAUGCAUAGCCGACCUGAGAGGGUGAUCGGCCACACUGGAACUGAGACACGGUCCAGACUCCUACGGGAGGCAGCAGUAGGGAAUCUUCCGCAAUGGGCGAAAGCCUGACGGAGCAACGCCGCGUGAGUGAUGAAGGUCUUCGGAUCGUAAAACUCUGUUAUUAGGGAAGAACAUAUGUGUAAGUAACUGUGCACAUCGUGACGGUACCUAAUCAGAAAGCCACGGCUAACUACGUG